Molecule: ribosomal RNA, 385 nt
Filed under: Lepispilus sp. NLG-2012
Lineage: Eukaryota; Metazoa; Arthropoda; Insecta; Coleoptera; Tenebrionidae
Description: partial 16S ribosomal RNA
Source: RNAcentral
UUUUACUGUUGAAUAAGUAUUUUUAAACUUUUUUUUGCAAUGAAACGUUAUUCGUUUUUGAAUAUAUCUGGUUUUUUAAGAAACUAAUUUAAUUAUUUUGGCAUUAAUAAGUUUAUUAGGGGAUAAGCUCUUAGGUUUAUGACCAUAAUAUUUAAUUUUCUGAGAAUUUAUAGGAUUAGAAUUUUCCAUUGUUAGAAGGAUGUUAUAAUUGAUUGUUUUGGAUUUUUUAUUGAAAUUUUAGUUUAAAUUUUAUUUUCUAAGUAAUUAUGAUAAAAUAAGUAAGGUUGUUUUAAGGAAUUCGGCAAAAAUAAUUUUCACCUGUUUAUUAAAAACAUGUCCUUUUGUUAUUGAUUUAAGGUCUGGCCUGCCCAAUGAUUAAAAGGCC